GUGAGUAACACGUGGGUAACCUGCCCAUAAGACUGGGAUAACUCCGGGAAACCGGGGCUAAUACCGGAUAACAUUUUGAACCGCAUGGUUCGAAAUUGAAAGGCGGCUUCGGCUGUCACUUAUGGAUGGACCCGCGUCGCAUUAGCUAGUUGGUGAGGUAACGGCUCACCAAGGCAACGAUGCGUAGCCGACCUGAGAGGGUGAUCGGCCACACUGGGACUGAGACACGGCCCAGACUCCUACGGGAGGCAGCAGUAGGGAAUCUUCCGCAAUGGACGAAAGUCUGACGGAGCAACGCCGCGUGAGUGAUGAAGGCUUUCGGGUCGUAAAACUCUGUUGUUAGGGAAGAACAAGUGCUAGUUGAAUAAGCUGGCACCUUGACGGUACCUAACCAGAAAGCCACGGCUAACUACGUGCCAGCAGCCGCGGUAAUACGUAGGUGGCAAGCGUUAUCCGGAAUUAUUGGGCGUAAAGCGCGCGCAGGUGGUUUCUUAAGUCUGAUGUGAAAGCCCACGGCUCAACCGUGGAGGGUCAUUGGAAACUGGGAGACUUGAGUGCAGAAGAGGAAAGUGGAAUUCCAUGUGUAGCGGUGAAAUGCGUAG
RNAcentral lists this ribosomal RNA (602 nucleotides) under Bacillus sp. (in: firmicutes). RNAcentral describes it as "bacterial SSU rRNA". It matches the Rfam family "Bacterial small subunit ribosomal RNA", at positions 106 to 693 of the family's 1533-position model. The record is from RNAcentral. Lineage: Bacteria; Bacillati; Bacillota; Bacilli; Caryophanales; Bacillaceae.